Molecule: long non-coding RNA, 278 nt
Filed under: Nicotiana benthamiana
Lineage: Eukaryota; Viridiplantae; Streptophyta; Magnoliopsida; Solanales; Solanaceae
Description: long non-coding RNA (NBEN_LNC001569)
Source: RNAcentral
GGAAGUGAAUCAGCCGGGCCGGAUGCUGGGCGAGGACGACAAUGAUAUGUCAAGAGUGGAGUACCUUGUGCAGGGAGUCCAGGAGGAGCCACAGUAGAUGGUCUAAAGUUUGGAGUGGGUAAGACUUCUGUAGCGGAAGGUGAAGGAGGAGAUAGUAGACUCCCUAAAGGCCGAUAUAGGUAAAACCUCAGAUAUAUCAAGAUGGUCAGGAUGAACAGAAGAGGUAAAGAAAGGUUUAGACUCAAAAAAUGUGACAUCGGCUGACAUAAGGUACCUAC